CGAAAUUUUGGGAAUAAUUUACAAAUUAGACCUGCUUGUUUUGUUGAUGAUAAAAAUGGUUUACUGAAAGGCGAUGUGGGAGCAACCUAUGGGGUCAUAGACUAUACAAACAUAUUCCAAAUAGAUCUAUGGAAGAAUAUUCCUAAAUCAUUUUUUGUGGUGGUUCAUGAUGAAAAAAGUUGUGAAGAUCAAUCUCCACGGGACACUUUUGAACUACUUCGUUCUCCAGAUAAAUUCUGUACAACGUCUCAAUCGAAAAGAAUGUGUGGAAUUGAUGGAAGUGGGUUUUAUAAAAGAGUUGGCGAUAAAUACUAUUUAGGAGGUGUUCUAGUUACUGCACAAAUAAAUCCCACUAAACCAAUAUGUGAUGGUGGAGUACCUACGUUUUUCACAAAUAUUUCACCAUACUUCAGUUGGAUAAAAGGCAUUAUAAGUAAUUAAUAGAAUUCAUGAAAAAUAUUACAUAAAAGUUUUAUUUGUUAAAAUUAGUUGCGUUUUGAAAUAAGAGAUGUCGCUAAUAAAUACUUCAAAUUUCAAA
Molecule: non-coding RNA, 538 nt
Organism: Onthophagus taurus
Lineage: Eukaryota; Metazoa; Arthropoda; Insecta; Coleoptera; Scarabaeidae
Source: RefSeq, a predicted model, not a curated record